RNAcentral lists this transfer RNA (72 nucleotides) under Aquilonastra batheri. RNAcentral's name for it is "tRNA-Leu". Lineage: Eukaryota; Metazoa; Echinodermata; Asteroidea; Valvatida; Asterinidae. The record is from RNAcentral.
GUAGAUUUAGGAUCUAUGAUUAUGGGUUCGAGUCCUUUUCUUAGUUGUUGUGGAUUCUAAGGCUUAAACUUA